RNAcentral lists this transfer RNA (72 nucleotides) under Retropinna semoni (Australian smelt). RNAcentral describes it as "tRNA-Trp". It matches the Rfam family "tRNA". From Rfam's summary of the family: Transfer RNA (tRNA) molecules are approximately 80 nucleotides in length. The record is from RNAcentral. Lineage: Eukaryota; Metazoa; Chordata; Actinopteri; Osmeriformes; Retropinnidae.
AGGGGCUUAGGAUAGUAUUGAGACCAAGAGCCUUCAAAGCUCUAAGCGAGGGUGAAAAUCCCCCAGCCCCUG